Molecule: ribosomal RNA, 292 nt
Filed under: uncultured bacterium
Lineage: Bacteria
Description: partial 16S ribosomal RNA
Rfam family: Bacterial small subunit ribosomal RNA
Source: RNAcentral
GUGUCAGCAGCCGCGGUAAUACGGGGGGGGCAAGCGUUGUUCGGAAUUACUGGGCGUAAAGGGCGUGUAGGCGGCCUAGCAAGUCAGCUGUGAAAGCCCCAGGCUCAACCUGGGAAUUGCAUCUGAAACUGCCGGGCUAGAGUUCAGGAGAGGAGGGCGGAACUCCCAGUGUAGCGGUGAAAUGCGUAGAUAUUGGGAGGAACACCGGUGGCGAAGGCGGCUCUCUGGACUGAAACUGACGCUGAGGCGCGAAAGCCAGGGGAGCGAACGGGAUUAGAUACCCGCGUAGUCC